UUCCCGCCCUUAUUGUUAGGAAACUGCAAUAAACAUCUGAGUAAAUGCCAGUACUUUCCGACAACCAGCGACAUGCAGUUUUGGGCAUGAUCCAACGAAGCCUUUCACAGUAUACAAUUACGAGAAGACUGAAGUUGUAGCCUCUACAAUAACCCAAAUCAUCUACAAAUUCAACCAAAAUGGAUCAUUUAAUGAUAAGCCACAUCCCGGGGUACAAAAAGCAAGAAACGCUCAGCAAGACCGAUACAUUUGGCCUUUCAC
RNAcentral lists this long non-coding RNA (261 nucleotides) under Mytilus galloprovincialis (Mediterranean mussel). The record is from RNAcentral. Lineage: Eukaryota; Metazoa; Mollusca; Bivalvia; Mytilida; Mytilidae.